Molecule: transfer RNA, 66 nt
Filed under: Neohirasea japonica
Lineage: Eukaryota; Metazoa; Arthropoda; Insecta; Phasmatodea; Lonchodidae
Description: tRNA-Leu
Source: RNAcentral
AUUAAUUUGGCAGAUUAGUGCAAUAAGUUUAGGAUUUAUUUAUAUUGUUUAAAACAAUAAUUAAUA